RNAcentral lists this ribosomal RNA (468 nucleotides) under uncultured bacterium. RNAcentral describes it as "partial 16S ribosomal RNA". It matches the Rfam family "Bacterial small subunit ribosomal RNA", at positions 28 to 507 of the family's 1533-position model. The record is from RNAcentral.
GACGAACGCUGGCGGCGUGCUUAACACAUGCAAGUCGAACGGAAAGGCCCUGCUUUUGUGGGGUGCUCGAGUGGCGAACGGGUGAGUAACACGUGAGUAACCUGCCCUUGACUUUGGGAUAACUUCAGGAAACUGGGGCUAAUACCGGAUAGGAGCUCCUGCUGCAUGGUGGGGGUUGGAAAGUUUCGGCGGUUGUGGAUGGACUCGCGGCUUAUCAGCUUGUUGGUGGGGUAGGUGCUUACCAAGGCUUUGACGGGUAGCCGGCCUGGGAGGGUGACCGGCGACAUUGGGACUGAGAUACGGCCCAGACUGCUAUGGGAGGCAGCAGUGGGGAAUAUUGCACAAUGGGCGGAAGCCUGAUGCAGCAACGCCGCGUGCGGGAUGACGGCCUUCGGGUUGUAAACCGCUUUCGCCUGUGACGAAGCGUGAGUGACGGUAAUGGGUAAAGAAGCACCGGCUAACUACGUG